CGGGGUGCAGCAGGCGCGAAAACUUUACAAUGCCGGCAACGGCGAUAAGGGAACCUCGAGUGCCAGGUUACAAAUCUGGCUGUCGUGAUGCCUAAAAAGCAUUGCAUAGCAAGGGCCGGGCAAGACCGGUGCCAGCCGCCGCGGCAACACCGGCGGCUCGAGUGGUAACCGUUAUUAUUGGGUCUAAAGGGUCUGUAGCCGGCCGGGUAAGUCUCUUGGGAAAUCUGGCAGCUUAACUGUCAGGCUUUCAGGAGGUACUGCCUGGCUCGAGGCCGGGAGAGGUGAGAGGUACUUCAGGGGUAGGGGUGAAAUCUUGUAAUCCUUGAAGGACCACCAGUGGCGAAGGCGUCUCACCAGAACGGACCUGACGGCAAGGGACGAAAGCUAGGGGCACGAACCGGAUUAGAUACCCGGGUAGUCCUAGCCGUAAACGAUACUCGCUAGGUGUCGGCCACGGUGCGACCGUGGUCGGUGCCGUAGGGAAGCCGUGAAGCGAGCCACCUGGGAAGUACGGCCGCAAGGCUGAAACUUAAAGGAAUUGGCGGGGGAGCACAAGGGCGAAUCGCG
Molecule: ribosomal RNA, 567 nt
Filed under: uncultured archaeon
Lineage: Archaea
Description: bacterial SSU rRNA
Rfam family: Archaeal small subunit ribosomal RNA
Source: RNAcentral